Molecule: ribosomal RNA, 1166 nt
Filed under: Weissella hellenica
Lineage: Bacteria; Bacillati; Bacillota; Bacilli; Lactobacillales; Lactobacillaceae
Description: bacterial SSU rRNA
Rfam family: Bacterial small subunit ribosomal RNA
Source: RNAcentral
UCCUAUAAUGCAAGUCGAACGCUUUGUGCUUAAUUGAUAUGACGAGCUUGCUCUGAUUUGAUUUUUUGAUUUCAAAGAGUGGCGAACGGGUGAGUAACACGUGGGUAACCUACCUCUUAGCAGGGGAUAACAUUUGGAAACAAGUGCUAAUACCGUAUAAUACCAACAACCGCAUGGUUGUUGGUUGAAAGAUGGUUCUGCUAUCACUAAGAGAUGGACCCGCGGUGCAUUAGCUAGUUGGUAAGGUAAUGGCUUACCAAGGCAAUGAUGCAUAGCCGAGUUGAGAGACUGAUCGGCCACAAUGGGACUGAGACACGGCCCAUACUCCUACGGGAGGCAGCAGUAGGGAAUCUUCCACAAUGGGCGCAAGCCUGAUGGAGCAACGCCGCGUGUGUGAUGAAGGGUUUCGGCUCGUAAAACACUGUUAUAAGAGAAGAACGGCACUGAGAGUAACUGUUCAGUGUGUGACGGUAUCUUACCAGAAAGGAACGGCUAAAUACGUGCCAGCAGCCGCGGUAAUACGUAUGUUCCAAGCGUUAUCCGGAUUUAUUGGGCGUAAAGCGAGCGCAGACGGUUAUUUAAGUCUGAAGUGAAAGCCCUCAGCUCAACUGAGGAAUUGCUUUGGAAACUGGAUGACUUGAGUGCAGUAGAGGAAAGUGGAACUCCAUGUGUAGCGGUGAAAUGCGUAGAUAUAUGGAAGAACACCAGUGGCGAAGGCGGCUUUCUGGACUGUAACUGACGUUGAGGCUCGAAAGUGUGGGUAGCAAACAGGAUUAGAUACCCUGGUAGUCCACACCGUAAACGAUGAGUGCUAGAUGUUCGAGGGUUUCCGCCCUUGAGUGUCGCAGCUAACGCAUUAAGCACUCCGCCUGGGGAGUACGACCGCAAGGUUGAAACUCAAAGGAAUUGACGGGGACCCGCACAAGCGGUGGAGCAUGUGGUUUAAUUCGAAGCAACGCGAAGAACCUUACCAGGUCUUGACAUCCCUUGACAACGCUAGAAAUAGCGCGUUCCCUUCGGGGACAAGGUGACAGGUGGUGCAUGGUUGUCGUCAGCUCGUGUCGUGAGAUGUUGGGUUAAGUCCCGCAACGAGCGCAACCCUUAUUAUUAGUUGCCAGCAUUCAGUUGGGCACUCUAGUGAAACUGCCGUGAAAAACCGGAGGAAG